GGCCCCUUGGCCAAGCGGUUAAGACACCGCCCUUUCACGGCGGUAACACGGGUUCGAAUCCCGUAGGGGUCA
RNAcentral lists this transfer RNA (72 nucleotides) under Peribacillus deserti. RNAcentral's name for it is "Bacillus deserti tRNA". It matches the Rfam family "tRNA". Rfam says of the family: Transfer RNA (tRNA) molecules are approximately 80 nucleotides in length. Their secondary structure includes four short double-helical elements and three loops (D, anti-codon, and T loops). Further hydrogen bonds mediate the characteristic L-shaped molecular structure. tRNAs have two regions of fundamental functional importance: the anti-codon, which is responsible for specific mRNA codon recognition, and the 3' end, to which the tRNAs corresponding amino acid is attached (by aminoacyl-tRNA synthetases). tRNAs cope with the degeneracy of the genetic code in two manners: having more than one tRNA (with a specific anti-codon) for a particular amino acid; and 'wobble' base-pairing, i.e. permitting non-standard base-pairing at the 3rd anti-codon position. Lineage: Bacteria; Bacillati; Bacillota; Bacilli; Caryophanales; Bacillaceae. The record is from Rfam by way of RNAcentral.